AUGAGUUAGGGUCUUCUAGGCCCGACCUCCCAACCCUAUGUUUACCAAACCAUCGUUGCUUCGGCGAGCCCGUCCGCUAUGGACCGCCGGGGAGCUGUCACAGGCUCUCUGGUCCGUGCUCGUCGGUGGCCAAUUUACAAAUUCUUAAUUAAACGUGUCUUGAUCUGAGUACCAUAUUUUAAUCAAAAUUAAAACUUUCAACAACGGAUCUCUUGGUUCUGGCAUCGAUGAAGAACGCAGCGAAAUGCGAUAAGUAAUGCGAAUUGCAGAAUUCCAGUGAGUCAUCGAAUCUUUGAACGCACAUUGCGCCCUUUGGUAUUCCGAAGGGCAUGCCUGUUCGAGCGUCAUUAUCACCCCUCAAGCCCCCGGCUUGGUGUUGGACGGUUGGUGGCGGUAACGUCACCCCUCCCAAAGACAAUGACGGCGGCCUCGUUGGACCCCCGGUACACUGAGUUCCUCACCGAACACGUAUCGGAUCAAGGGUGCGCGGGUCACGGUCUGCCUCCCCUCAGGGAGAACUUUUUUCAAG
RNAcentral lists this unclassified non-coding RNA (529 nucleotides) under uncultured Exophiala. RNAcentral's name for it is "sequence contains ITS1, 5.8S rRNA gene, ITS2". The stretch from base 193 to 347 matches the Rfam family "5.8S ribosomal RNA". The record is from RNAcentral. Lineage: Eukaryota; Fungi; Ascomycota; Eurotiomycetes; Chaetothyriales; Herpotrichiellaceae.